UGCAUAUCAAUAAGCGGAGGAAAAGAAACUAACAAGGAUUCCCCUAGUAACGGCGAGUGAAGCGGGAAAAGCUCAAAUUUGUAAUCUGGCGCCUUGGGCGUCCGAGUUGUAAUCUCGAGAAGUAUUUUCCGCGCUGGACCGCACAUAAGUCUGUUGGAAUACAGCGUCAUAGUGGUGAGAACCCCGUAUAGGGUGCGGAUGCCCAGUGCUUUGUGAUAUACUUUCGAAGAGUCGAGUUGUUUGGGAAUGCAGCUCAAAUUGGGUGGUAAAUUCCAUCUAAAGCUAAAUAUUGGCGAGAGACCGAUAGCGAACAAGUACCGUGAGGGAAAGAUGAAAAGCACUUUGGAAAGAGAGUUAACAGUACGUGAAAUUGUUGGAAGGGAAACGCUUGAAGUCAGACUUGCAUUUUGGAGUUCAGCCGCAAGGUGUAUUCUUCAAUUCGCAGGCCAGCAUCAGUUUCUGGGGGUGGAAAAGCGCGGUUGGAAGGUAGCAGUCUCGGCUGUGUUAUAGCUUUCCGCUGGAUUCACUUUUGGGGACUGAGGAACGCAGUACGCUUUUUGCAAGAUUCUCGAAUCUUUCGUACUUAGGAUGCUGGUGGAAUGGCUUUAAACGACCCGUCUUGAAACACGGACCA
This 634-nucleotide ribosomal RNA is filed under the name Microbotryum lagerheimii. Its description in RNAcentral is "LSU rRNA". It matches the Rfam family "Eukaryotic large subunit ribosomal RNA", at positions 37 to 668 of the family's 3401-position model. Lineage: Eukaryota; Fungi; Basidiomycota; Microbotryomycetes; Microbotryales; Microbotryaceae. The record is from RNAcentral.